RNAcentral lists this small RNA (110 nucleotides) under Marmota monax (woodchuck). The record is from RNAcentral. Lineage: Eukaryota; Metazoa; Chordata; Mammalia; Rodentia; Sciuridae.
GUUGGGUGUGGUGGCACACACCUGUAAUCUCAGCAAUUUGGGAGGCUGAGGCAGGAGGACCACCACAAGUUCAAGGUCAGACUGGGCAACUUAGUGAGAUCCUGUCUCAA